RNAcentral lists this ribosomal RNA (465 nucleotides) under uncultured bacterium. RNAcentral describes it as "partial 16S ribosomal RNA". It matches the Rfam family "Bacterial small subunit ribosomal RNA", at positions 338 to 795 of the family's 1533-position model. The record is from RNAcentral.
CCUACGGGAGGCUGCAGUAGGGAAUCUUCCACAAUGGGCGAAAGCCUGAUGGAGCAACGCCGCGUGGGUGAAGAAGGUCUUCGGAUCGUAAAACCCUGUUGUUAGAGAAGAAAGUGCGUGAGAGUAACUGUCCACGUUUCGACGGUAUCUAACCAGAAAGCCACGGCUAACUACGUGCCAGCAGCCGCGGUAAUACGUAGGUGGCAAGCGUUAUCCGGAUUUAUUGGGCGUAAAGGGAACGCAGGCGGUCUUUUAAGUCUGAUGUGAAAGCCUUCGGCUUAACCGGAGUAGUGCAUUGGAGACUGGGAGACUAGAGUGCAGGAGAGGAGAGUGGAACUCCAUGUGUAGCGGUGAAAUGCGUAGAUAUAGGGAAGAACACCAGUGGCGAAGGCGGCUCUCUGGUCUGUAACUGACGCUGAGGUUCGAAAGCGUGGGUAGCAAACAGGAUUAGAUACCCUUGUAGUC